RNAcentral lists this unclassified non-coding RNA (1882 nucleotides) under Lytechinus variegatus (green sea urchin). Its description in RNAcentral is "casein kinase II subunit alpha-like, transcript variant X1". The record is from RNAcentral. Lineage: Eukaryota; Metazoa; Echinodermata; Echinoidea; Temnopleuroida; Toxopneustidae.
CGCUGCGCUGAUAAAAUAAUGGUGGUUCUGCUGUGAGAGGUCAUCUUUCGCCAUCUUGCGAGAAGCCGGGAAAUUCUAUGACAAUAUUGGAUGUGAAACUUAGUUGAAGAACAGUAGUUUGUGUAUAUUUAUUGAUAAAUCAACCCUUAAUUUUUGAGGUAUUUCUCGUGAACAGCAACGGGUUACAUCAUUGUAUUCGACUCGAAAAGUGGUAAAAUGAUCAGGCAGUGAAAGGCGGGGUGUGAAAUAAAUUUGCAGUUCUCAAAAGAGCGCACCAGGCCCAUUGACUAUUGCAUGGAUAUGUGGCUGUGUAGUGCUCCAGCACGAGGCCGUAAUGAGUGACAAGUUUUGUGCACAAAGUCUGGAGUAAAGAAGGGCGUGUUUCUGAAUAUUCUUCCUUAAUUUGGUCGAAAUUUGGCGUCAACCGAUAAUUCGUGCUUCUCGAGGAGCUUGGAGGCUUCUCAGAAGGAGUACAUUUGUACCUGUUUCAAGCUAUUCACAUUUUCUUGGGGUCAAUCCAAGCCCUACUGGCCGAGGAGGUCACCACCCAUUCAGUCCAUUUUCAUUUGUGCCAACUUUGUGUGGGCACAGUGCUGUAUGUUCCAGCCUGGCGAAUUUUGUAGAAAACAAGCCGAACUCCAAGAUGGCCAGCAUGAGCAGGGCGAGGGUUUAUGCUGACGUCAACUCUCAUAGACCUAGAGAAUACUGGGACUAUGAAUCACAUGUUGUUGAAUGGGGGCAACAGGAUGACUAUCAGAUCGUCAGGAAGCUGGGAAGGGGGAAGUACAGUGAGGUCUUUGAGGCAGUUAAUAUCACCAGCAAUGAAAAGUGUGUGAUCAAAAUCUUGAAGCCUGUAAAAAAGAAGAAAAUUAAGAGAGAAAUCAAGAUCCUGGAAAACCUAAGAGGAGGCCCUAACAUCAUAGCACUACAAGCCAUUGUCAAAGAUCCAGUGUCCCGGACGCCAGCUCUUAUAUUCGAGUAUGUCAACAACACAGAUUUCAAGCAACUUUACCAAACGUUAAAAGACUAUGAAAUCAGGUACUACCUGUUUGAACUUCUUAAGGCUUUAGAUUACAGUCACAGUAUGGGUAUCAUGCAUCGUGAUGUCAAACCACACAACGUCAUGAUAGAUCAUGAAAACAGACGGCUACGUUUGAUAGACUGGGGUUUAGCAGAGUUCUACCAUCCUGGCCAAGAGUACAAUGUCAGAGUAGCAUCAAGAUAUUUCAAAGGUCCAGAACUCCUAGUCGACUACCAGCUGUACGACUACUCACUAGACAUGUGGAGUCUGGGCUGUAUGCUAGCGAGUAUGAUAUUCCGCAAGGAACCUUUCUUCCACGGCCACGACAACUACGACCAACUUGUGAGGAUUACCAAAGUCCUUGGCACAGACGAGCUCUAUGAGUACCUGGACAAGUAUCAGAUUGAACUGGAUCCGAGGUUCAAUGAUAUCUUAGGAAGGCAUUCACAUAAACGAUGGGAACGGUUUGUCCACAGUGAAAACCAGCAUCUAGUCAGUCCAGAGGCUCUUGAUUUCCUGGAUAAACUAUUACGUUAUGAUCACCAGGAGAGACACACUGCAAGGGAAGCCAUGGAACACCCUUACUUCUAUCCAGUUGUGAAGGAACAGAACAGAUCGAUGCCACCAGUCAUGAGUACGCAACCCAACACCUCAACUAGCGCCACAAAUUCAAGCAGCGCAUCAUCUGCUCGUAAAGGUAAAGGAGAGGCCUUUAUUCCAUAAAAGCCUAUUGUUUAUGUUUGGGAGCCAGUACAAUUCAUCCAACUUAUACCCACGAUCGACACGAAAGCACGGCCGUCCGGCACCAUCCCUGGAGCCCCCUUGAUUCCGACACCCACAGCCCAGACUGUCUCACCGAUA